RNAcentral lists this ribosomal RNA (515 nucleotides) under uncultured bacterium. RNAcentral describes it as "partial 16S ribosomal RNA". It matches the Rfam family "Bacterial small subunit ribosomal RNA", at positions 28 to 523 of the family's 1533-position model. The record is from RNAcentral.
GAUGAACGCUGGCGGCGUGCCUAAUACAUGCAAGUCGAGCGAAUGGAUUAAGAGCUUGCUCUUAUGAAGUUAGCGGCGGACGGGUGAGUAACACGUGGGUAACCUGCCCAUAAGACUGGGAUAACUCCGGGAAACCGGGGCUAAUACCGGAUAACAUUUUGAACCGCAUGGUUCGAAAUUGAAAGGCGGCUUGGGCUGUCACUUAUGGAUGGACCCGCGUCGCAUUAGCUAGUUGGUGAGGUAACGGCUCACCAAGGCAACGAUGCGUAGCCGGCCUGGGAGGGUGAUCGGCCACACUGGGACUGAGACACGGCCCAGACUCCUACGGGAGGCAGCAGUAGGGAAUCUUCCGCAAUGGACGAAAGUCUGACGGAGCAUCGCCGCGUGAGUGAUGAAGGCUUUCGGGUCGUAAAACUCUGUUGUUAGGGAAGAACAAGUGCUAGUUGAAUAAGCUGGCACCUUGACGGUACCUAACCAGAAAGCCACGGCUAACUACGUGCCAGCAGCCGCCGUAA